GAUGGGCUGGGUCAGGGUCGGCCGACCCUAGGGGGCGGCCGCCCCCUGGUGGGCCCCACUGGCCCCGGCCCGAAGCCCGUUGCCUUCCUAUCGGGCCCCUGAGUCCAGAUCCACCUGCAAAUUGAUGCACUUCUAUAUUGGGCUUUUGGGUACUUGUUUAUUUGCGCAUUUUUUUGACGUGUCGGAUUGCGCCUUUUUAUUUGCUUUCCACCUGUAUGCCUGUAUAUGAUCU
Molecule: long non-coding RNA, 232 nt
Filed under: Sorghum bicolor (sorghum)
Lineage: Eukaryota; Viridiplantae; Streptophyta; Magnoliopsida; Poales; Poaceae
Description: long non-coding RNA (SBIC_LNC006429)
Source: RNAcentral